GGGUUUUCUUCACCUUCUCCUGAGAAAGGUUGUUUUUGAACAAAUUCUAUGUAUUCGGGGUCUAUCUCAAAACUAGAUGCUAUGAUAGGCUUUGAAGAUUUUGGUGGUUCGAGAUGUGUGCCUGUAGGUCUAUGAAAUUCAUAGAUAGACAUGUUUGAAUUCAUGAUAGACCAGAGAUCAAGGAUUAGAUAAGAAGAAAGAAUAGCAGAGAUAAGGCAAAAGAUAAAAGGAAAUAUAUUUUUUUAUUAUUUUUUUAGAAAAUGAUUAAGCUAGUUCGUAGUCAACUCAGGAACCGUUUCCCCGGCAACGGCGCCAAAAAGCUUGUUGACACUUGCUAACACCACUUGAAUACUAGGUUGUCAUCCCCAGCAUGGCACUAGAGUGUACUAUGGUAUUUAUACGCACAUAGAUAAAUCCGCAAGCGCACGGAUACCGUUGUAGCUUUUACCCGGUUAAAGGUUUUAUCGUAUCCACAGGGAAACGGGAGAACUGAUCUACGCUCUAACUUAACCUAGAUAGAUAGGUAGGCGUAAAUAGGAAAGAUGGUAGAAUUGAAUAAGAACAAUAUUAAAGGUAAGAUAACAGUGGGUGAUAAUAUGGGAAUAGAGAGUAGAGCAAUCUAGUAUAUGGGCGAUGGUAGGUGAAUAGAGAGGAUAACUAUGGUUUCUCUACUUCAAAGGGCUAUGUCUAUGUCUAGGACGAACCACAUGAUAAGAAUACACCACAAAGGAU
RNAcentral lists this long non-coding RNA (732 nucleotides) under Sorghum bicolor (sorghum). RNAcentral describes it as "long non-coding RNA (SBIC_LNC005395)". The record is from RNAcentral. Lineage: Eukaryota; Viridiplantae; Streptophyta; Magnoliopsida; Poales; Poaceae.